CAGUUUACAUUCAACACUUAUGGCACCUCUUCGAUCUGAAGGCAUAGACGCUUUGGCGUCGUCAUAUAUAGAAAGAGCAUAUCUAAGAAUGCGCAAUUCUGAAGACAGUGACCCUUUCCCGGUUUUCCGAGAAAAAACACGUCUAAUAAUACCUCAUUAUACUGGAGUCGUCGUAAACCCUUUCCCUUCCGAACCAUUUCUAGAAAGAGGGCCUAAGGCGAUAGUCUCAUUAGUCUUGUCUUAAUCACAACCCUAAUGCGAUGUGAGCAUCCACAAGCACCAAGACACACAAUACAGAACAAAGAAGACAAUCCUGCAAACAAAAGUUUAGAAUAAAAGUGCUUUAGUCACAAAAAGGAUUUUUAUAUGAGUAAUAAUAUUUUUCAAUAAAAAUAUUUACACAUUUGAU
Non-coding RNA from Cajanus cajan (pigeon pea), 409 nucleotides. The record is from RefSeq and is a predicted model, not a curated record. NCBI's taxonomy places the organism in Eukaryota, Viridiplantae, Streptophyta, Magnoliopsida, Fabales, Fabaceae.